Micropterus dolomieu (smallmouth bass) is the source of this 1129-nucleotide long non-coding RNA. RefSeq lists it as uncharacterized. NCBI's taxonomy places the organism in Eukaryota, Metazoa, Chordata, Actinopteri, Centrarchiformes, Centrarchidae. The transcript has 5 exons. The record is from RefSeq and is a predicted model, not a curated record.
CUGGCUUGACUGUUGUUUUCGAAGUGGAGGCUGGCUUGACUUCAGUGAGGACACGUAGUCCGUUAAAAUGUAUUUUCUAAGUAUUUCUUCAUCGCCUUCAUGUUAAAAGUCAUGUCUGCCCCGCUGCUGUCAUGGUAACGUUACGAUUCACCGUCACCCUCAUCUAAAGUUCGGCUGUUUCAUAUUUAUUUAUUUAUUUAACUCUGAUUACAGACAAUCUGACUGUCUGCGCAGUCUGUGAGUUGUUUUCUUUGCAUCUGAUUAUCACACUGCAUAUUAUUCAAUACUGAAAUAAAUCCAUGUCAGAAACAUUUAAAGUUUGAAGUAGAUUAAUGUCUGUUAUUGUCUUGGAGAGUCUCCAUCCAGCUGGAUCUGUGUCACAGGUGAGGAGCUAACAUUUGAUUUGAGGACUCACUUCAUCCAGAGGUUCACCUGACCAGGUGGAUUCUGUCUACAGGUAAACCUACAACCCCCCACCUCAGUCCCCCUCCAGCUUGUGUUCAGACUGGUCCGCCACCUGGUGGUCUUCUGUCCCUGCUGCAUCUCCACUGUCCUCAUGGUGUCUUCAUAUCGACGCAGGGCCGCAGGAAAUGACCUGAGAAGGGAUUGACAACAUUGACGAUGUCAUCACUGCUGUCUCCAGAGAAUUUCACGUCUGAGCUGAUCCAAGGGCGCCCUGACCAGUCUUUGGAGAGAAAACCACAACACUGCCGGCCACUCGCAGAGGAAGGAGGAGGCUGUUACAUGAACAUGAAGUGAUCAGAGCGCAGAUCUCAUUACACCAAGUGUCAGGAUGGAGGGAACUAUUCUUCUGUGGCUGCUCUUUCUGACGUCACUGCUGAGCUGCACAACAAACCAGGCUCUUGCAGCCUCUCUGACUGUGAGUCCCAGCAGCUCUCAGCUGUUUGAAGAUAAAUCUGUCUCUCUGAGAUGUGAUGAGGACGACAGCUCUACUGGAUGGACGCUGAGGAGGAACACAACCAGACGACAGAUGACUCAGUGUGGAGCUGGCUGGGGAAGAUCAGCUGGUUCUUCCUGUAGCAUCACUCUGACAGUCACAUGGGACAGUGGAGUUUACUGGUGUGAGUCCAGAGAGGGAGCAACCAGUAACACCGUCAACAUCACUGUC